Molecule: transfer-messenger RNA, 301 nt
Filed under: Candidatus Pelagibacter sp.
Lineage: Bacteria; Pseudomonadati; Pseudomonadota; Alphaproteobacteria; Candidatus Pelagibacterales; Candidatus Pelagibacteraceae
Rfam family: Alphaproteobacteria transfer-messenger RNA
About the family: Bacterial tmRNA, also known as 10Sa RNA or SsrA, is named for its dual tRNA and mRNA-like properties. Its role is to liberate the mRNA from a stalled ribosome.
Source: RNAcentral
UAUCUAGCAAAAUAUAAACAAAAAACUAUAAUGUUUAGUGUUGGUUUUCCAACUACGACGAUAAACGAAUUUCGUAAUAACCAUUGCGGACGUGGGGGCAGUACCCACCACCUCCACCAUUACAGCUUAUGGGGGUGAACUAGAUUCGACGGGUGACUAAAGGCUAUUCUUUCGUUCGGGAUUGUUCCACCGUGACGGGCAAAUUUAUAAUUGCUAACGAAAGUUACGCACUUGCUGCCUAAUUAACUUUGUUAAUUAAGUAGACGGGGUCCGGGGCACCUGGCAACAGAACGCCCCUACA